AGCAGCCGCGGUAAUUCCAGCUCCAAUAGCGUAUAUUAAAGUUGUUGCAGUUAAAAGUUCGUAGUUGAAUUUCGGGGUUAGUACGCUGGUCGUGCCUUCGGUAUGUACUGGUGUUACUGAUUCCUACCUUCUGAAGAACCGUCAUGUCAUUAAUUUGGUGUGGCGGGGAAUCAGGACUGUUACUUUGAAAAAUUAGAGUGUUUAAAGCAGGCUCGCGCUUGAAUACAUCAGCAUGGAAUAAUGAAAUAGGACGUUUGAUCCUAUUUUGUUGGUUUCUAGGAUUGACGUAAUGAUUAAUAGGGAUAGUUGGGGGCAUUAGUAUUCAAUUGUCAGAGGUGAAAUUCUUGGAUUUAUUGAAGACUAACUACUGCGAAAGCAUUUGCCAAGGAUGUUUUCAUUAAUCAAGAACGAAAGUUAGGGAUCGAAGACGAUCAGAUACCGUCGUAGUCU
This 450-nucleotide ribosomal RNA is filed under the name uncultured Glomeromycotina. RNAcentral describes it as "SSU rRNA". It matches the Rfam family "Eukaryotic small subunit ribosomal RNA", at positions 569 to 1026 of the family's 1831-position model. Lineage: Eukaryota; Fungi; Glomeromycota. The record is from RNAcentral.